RNAcentral lists this long non-coding RNA (590 nucleotides) under Homo sapiens (human). RNAcentral's name for it is "HSALNT0253530". Lineage: Eukaryota; Metazoa; Chordata; Mammalia; Primates; Hominidae. The record is from RNAcentral.
GAAAUUUGCACUUCAGGGAUUAAAGAGUAAUUUCCUGUGCUCUUGUUGUUUAAAAGUCUGCACAGAAGAGCUCCAUGGCCUGAACUUUUCUGGGCAAUGUGCAGAGCUGUUUUUAGCUUGGACUACAAAUAACAGGUGAAUCCAGCAGGAUUCCCAGGGGGAGUGCUGAUCCUGCGGAGGUAUAACUCAGGACUGAAGAGAACACAGAAUGCUGUAGGGACAACAGGAAAUUGGAGCCCAGUCCAGUCCUAAGUUAGCACAUGCGUGGUGCUUUUUGGCACCCUGAAGCAGCUAAAAGCAUGGCUCUGAAGUCAGACUUCCUGGAUGCCAGUUCCUCACCGCUCCCCAGCUGUGCCGCUGAGACUUAGAUUUUCGUUAUGUGCAAAACUGGGGUGAUAAUAUUAGAUCUGUAGGAGGGCUUCAUGCUUUUUAUACAGUCCCUAGGACAGUGACGGGCACAUAAUAUUGGCUCAAGAUAGGUUAACUAUUGUUAUUUAAACUGUGCCCAAACCAGAAAAACACAGUGGGGCCAAGUUUUGGUUCUCUAAUUGAACACAUUAGAUAUCGCAGAUAAACAGGACCCCAGGAAG